AUGCGCAGAUAUCGGGAGGAACACCAGUGGCGAAGGCGGCUCCCUGGACCGCACCUGACGCUCAGAGGCGAAAGCUAGGGGAGCGAACAGGAUUAGAGACCCUGGUAGUCCUAGCCCUAAACGCUGGAUGCUAGGUGUAGGGCUGAUGAGGCUCUGUGCCGGAGCGAACGCGAUAAGCAUCCCGCCUGGGAACUACGGCCGCAAGGCUAAAACUCAAACGAAUUGACGGGGACCCGCACAAGCAGCGGAGCGUGUGGUUUAAUUCGAUGCUACACGAAGAACCUUACCUGGGUUUGACAUGCUGGUGGUACCGAACCGAAAGGGGAGGGACCCUUCGGGGAGCCAACACAGGUGCUGCAUGGCUGUCGUCAGCUCGUGCCGUGAGGUGUCGGGUUAAGUCCCGUAACGAGCGCAACCCUUGCUCUUAGUUAUACGUGUCUAAGGGGACUGCCGGCGACAAGCCGGAGGAAGGUGGGGAUGACGUCAAGUCAGCAUGGCCUUGAUAUCCAGGGCUACACACACGCUACAAUGGCCGGUACAAAGGGCAGCCAAGCCGCGAGGUGAAGCGAAUCCCAGCAAAGCCGGUCCCAGUUCGGAUUGCAGGCUGCAACCCGCCUGCAUGAAGUUGGAGUUGCUAGUAACCGCGCGUCAGCCAUAGUGCGGUGAAUACGUACCCGGGUCUUGUACACACCGCCCGUCACGUCAUGGGAGUUGGCAACGCCUGACAGCGGUAGCCUAACCGAAAGGAAGGCGCCGACUAAGGCGGGGCUAGCGACUGGGACGAAGU
RNAcentral lists this ribosomal RNA (787 nucleotides) under uncultured organism. RNAcentral's name for it is "bacterial SSU rRNA". It matches the Rfam family "Bacterial small subunit ribosomal RNA", at positions 686 to 1486 of the family's 1533-position model. The record is from RNAcentral.